This 565-nucleotide long non-coding RNA is filed under the name Trifolium pratense (red clover). RNAcentral's name for it is "long non-coding RNA (TPRA_LNC009361)". Lineage: Eukaryota; Viridiplantae; Streptophyta; Magnoliopsida; Fabales; Fabaceae. The record is from RNAcentral.
AUUGUGAUUAGGUCCAAUUUUUAUGACAAUCUUAAGGAUUUAUCUUUUUAUUAAUUAAACCCUAAAUUGCUAGUUUCUAUCGAGGUAGCAUUCAUCUGGACUGAGGACUAAUUUUAAUGAAAUGAAGAGGUGAGUUUAUGUUACAAACGGUGAUGUUGUUCAUACACGAGAAGUGCACUCAAAGAAAAAAAGGGUGUCAUGUGUAUUGAAGGAAUUGAACGAACUCAUUUAGCUUCAUAUGAGAGAAUGUGGUAAAACAACCAAGUAAGUGAUUGCAAUUAUGUUUAAUAUUUUAAUUUGAUUGUCACAAUUUUUUAUGAGCUAUUGUGUGUGUACUAGUACUGAUAAAAAUGGUUAUUGUCUACAAACUUUCAUGAGAAUAGUAAAAAAUUCAGAAUGAGAAAAUUAUGCAACUUGCAUAAAUAAGUAUUGGUCCUUUUAUAUGUUACAACGGAGAACAAGUUUCAAUUAUUAUUAAUUUUGUGUUUGUGAGUUAGUGAGAAAGAUAUAAGAAAGACUCCCUAUUUGAUAGAGACUUUGACAAACAAAAUUUAUAGAUAUAUAC